RNAcentral lists this ribosomal RNA (465 nucleotides) under uncultured bacterium. Its description in RNAcentral is "partial 16S ribosomal RNA". It matches the Rfam family "Bacterial small subunit ribosomal RNA", at positions 28 to 507 of the family's 1533-position model. The record is from RNAcentral.
GAUGAACGCUGGCGGCGUGCGUAACACAGGCAAGUCGAACGGAAAGGCUCCUGCUUGCAGGGGUACUCGAGUGGCGAACGGGUGAGUAACACGUGGGUGAUCUGCCCUGCACUUCGGGAUAAGCCUGGGAAACUGGGUCUAAUACCGGAGAGGACGAUGGUUUGGAUGCCAUUGUGGAAAGUUUUUCGGUGUGGGAUGAGCUCGCGGCCUAUCAGCUUGUUGGUGGGGUAAUGGCCUACCAAGGCGUCGACGGGUAGCCGGCCUGAGAGGGUGUCCGGCCACAUUGGGACUUAGCUACGGCCCAGACUCCUACGGGAGGCAGCAGUGGGGAAUAUUGCACAAUGGGCGCAAGCCUGAUGCAGCGACGCCGCGUGGGGGAUGACGGCCUUCGGGUUGUAAACUCCUUUCGCUAGGGACGAAGCGCAAGUGACGGUACCUGGAGAAGAAGCACCGGCUACCUACGUG